GCGUUUCAGACAGUUGUAUCAUCUGAAAUUGAGGAGUGCUAGAGAGAUGGCGCACUUCAUCCGAGCGUGCUGUGUGCUACACAAUCUCGCCGUGGAAGAUAACUUGGAGCUAGAAGAUAACGAAGGUGAAGAAGAUGAUGCACCGGCUGAAGAACGAGCAGUCGGCUUCUACAACAGGGAUGACAGAAGUGGCAUUGCGAAGAGAAAUAUGAUUGCGGCACAGUUGCAAAUGUAAAAGCAGCACCAGAUGCCCCAUCACCAACAUAUUACAACAAAUAUCAUACCAGUGAUGUGGAUGUUAGGAUGUAUUGUCACGGACUACAAGCAGGAGAUCAAGGUGAAGGAAGUCAACUGCAGGCCAUGGAGGAAGAAUAAAGGGCUGUCCAAGAAUAAUCAACAGCUGAGGGUGUUGGCUCAUUGUUUUUACAGGCUGAAGCUGAGGGCAUCAGAUGUCACGUCUGUGAAGAGCAACGGAGGAGUAGUGAUUAUAAACUGUAAUUUUGAACUGUGCAUUUGGUGAUUAUAGUUUCAGUGUAAUUGUGACUUGUCUUUGUGUUUGUAGUUAAAUUGUAAUUGUGAACUGUGCAUUUGAGUAUAUUACAAAUUUUAAUUGUAUAUUGUAACAUCCCACCCUCCUCUGCCAUCCUGAUCUGGGUCUUCCAUGGUUUCCCCAGAUAGUGUCGGGCGAAUGCCAGGAUGGGUCCCUAAGUCCAUGGCAGU
Long non-coding RNA from Schistocerca nitens (vagrant locust), 720 nucleotides. RefSeq lists it as uncharacterized. The record is from RefSeq and is a predicted model, not a curated record. NCBI's taxonomy places the organism in Eukaryota, Metazoa, Arthropoda, Insecta, Orthoptera, Acrididae. The transcript has 4 exons.